GGAAGUAAAAGUCGUAACAAGGUUUCCGUAGGUGAACCUGCGGAAGGAUCAUUAUUGAAAUGCUAAAGGAAGGAGGCUGACUGCUGGGUGCAAGCGCAUCUGUGCACGCCUUCUCUCUUAAAUCCCUUUUAACACUUGUGCACUUUGUGUAGGCUGAGAAAUCAGUCUAUGUUUUUACUUUACACACAAUAUUUUGUAUGAACAUUAUAUGAAAAUGUAUUUUAAUACAACUUUCAACAACGGAUCUCUUGGCUCUCGCAUCGAUGAAGAACGCAGCGAAAUGCGAUAAGUAAUGUGAAUUGCAGAAUUCAGUGAAUCAUCGAAUCUUUGAACGCACCUUGCGCUCCUUGGUAUUCCGAGGAGCAUGCCUGUUUGAGUGUCAUGAUAUUACUCAAAGCUUACUAGUUUGUAAGAUUUGGAUUGUUGGAGUGUGCCGUGGAUAAUAAUCCUUAGGCUACUCUUGAAUGCAUUGUGUAAUCCUUGCAUACAAGGCUUUCAUUUGGUUUGAUAGUUUUCUAUACCAUUUGAAGCCCAGUUUGUGAGUAAAUAAUUGUAUGAUUCUGUGACCUCAAAUCAGGUAGGAUUACCCGCUGAACUUAAGCAUAUCAAUAAGCGGAGGA
Molecule: ribosomal RNA, 620 nt
Filed under: Neohygrocybe ingrata
Lineage: Eukaryota; Fungi; Basidiomycota; Agaricomycetes; Agaricales; Hygrophoraceae
Description: eukaryotic LSU rRNA
Rfam family: 5.8S ribosomal RNA (bases 229-382)
Source: RNAcentral